Egretta garzetta (little egret) is the source of this 2306-nucleotide long non-coding RNA. RefSeq lists it as uncharacterized. The transcript has 3 exons. Lineage: Eukaryota; Metazoa; Chordata; Aves; Pelecaniformes; Ardeidae. The record is from RefSeq and is a predicted model, not a curated record.
UCCCCCCUCCUCUCAGGCAGUUGUAGGGAGCAAUGAGGGCUCCCUUCAGCCUCCUCUUCUCUAGGCUGAACACCCUCAGUGCCCUCAAGCAUCUGAUGAGAGAAGAGCCCCUCUGAGGGACAUCAUGAGCACCUUCCUGGUGGGCUCUGGUGUGUCAGUGCAAUGCUGCGGGGUACCCUUCCAGCUGUAGCUGCCCAAGUAAAAGGGAAUUUAUACCACUCGAGCACCCCUUCCACGUCCCCCUCAGAGGGGGAGCACUGGGAGGCUAUGGAGCUGGGGACCCCUCUCCAUCUGUAUGUGCUGCAGUGCCUCCAGGCACUCCACACCGGCAGAGAAAAGCCAAGGGCCACCAAAGGUGACCUCCCCAAGGCAGCAGACAGUUGUUGAUGUGUGUGCAAUCCUCCUACCACUGGAGCAGGUGAGGGGGGAAUUCACCCCGCAGGGCUGGCCAGGAAAAGCAUGUUGUCCCCACAGCCCAUGCAGGAGAUAGGGCAGCCCUCGGGCGUGCUGUCCUUAUCACGGGGAGGGGAACUGAGCCCUGGGGAUCACUACUGCAACAUGUUCAUUAGUGCAAAGCUGUGCGUGGGGCGAACAUGUGCUACUGCAGCUCCGGCCUGGAGAGGGGUAGAGCACAGAAAGGCAGCGAGCAGCUUCUUCCCAUGUAGGGAUCUUUACCAAGGAGUCUGUGUCUUGUCCCAUCCCUGCUCCUGCUCUCGUGGCAAGCCCUUGCCCUGGGUGCUGUUGUGGGCCGGGCGGGCGGCUGCGCUGGAGGCUCCAGUCCUGUGGCCGGUGUCAGGCACCAGUGGAUGAUGUGUUUGCUCCCAAGCGUGGUGCCUCAUCCUGUGGCCCAGGAUCCCUCCCGCCCUCUUCCUGGUCCUAGGCCACAGUGCCAAGACAGCCAUCCUUUUCCCAAUGGCAAGGCGUGGAGAAAAUCCCCCUUGGCUCUCUCCUGCUGCUUGUUUCAGGACAGAGCUAAGGGUCUCUAGCCUCAGGAGGCUGUGUCUAGCCCAGGGCAGUAUCAGGAGCAGGAAAAAAAAAAGACAAAACAAGUCCCAACCUAUUUAACCCCUCUUCCUCUGCCUUUCAUGAGCAGGAUGUGUUUAUGCAGACAACACUGUGGGCUCUUUCCUCAGUGGUUGAAGCAGCUCAGAUGUCGGUGCUGUUUUGCUGGGGAUAUCGGCAGUGACUCAGGACAUCCUCUCUGUGUCCAUGUCGGCCAUGGUUACCCAGGUCGCUCCUGCUCUGAACAGCUUCAUGCCCUACCAGCCGGGACUGGGGGGAUGCUCAGCUGGGAAGGGAGCAGCCGGCUGGCUGCGCUGGCUGGCUCCUGCUCUUACUGCAGACCCCAGCACCAGAGGCUACAACAGAAUUGGAUGCCAAACGUUAACCAGUGAGAGGAGCGACUGGAGUGAACCUACUGUUUUCCUCAGCCACUUCAAAUGAGCCCACUUUUCAAGCAGGAUUUGUGCUACAUGAACGGUAAAACCAGUGUCGCUGUGAUUGCAAGGGCCUGCCGGAGCGCAACCAGAAAACUUGGAAAGUGCAACUUAGCGCAGGCUUUGAAAAUUCGGAUAUUGCUAAAAAGCAGCACUUGAGGGCAGCAUAGCACCACUGAAGAGCCGUUGCUGCUCACCUGUAGCUGUUUCCUCAGGAAAGGUGCACCCACCGCCAACCUCACAAGCGCUUUUCUGCAGAAGACAACACGCGCGUUCCUCUCCAUCGAAGCGCGCGACCCUCCCUGGCUGGCAUGCACACCGGGCUGCCAAUAACUUAUUUUAUUUCAGCCUUACCAAGUGGCUGCCACUUGCGCAAGCUGGCUGUAAAGCACCAGCAUGCACAAAAGCGUUCUUUGCUCCGGACCUGCACAGUUAUCAACCAAACUCAUCCGCGCUUUAGAAAUUAGGUGGAUAUAAGAUUUAAGGAUGUAAAUAAAAGUAGGUGCUGGGGAAUCUUUUUAGCUAUCAUCAAACUUCAGAAAUAGUUACCUUUGGCUCCUUCUCCCCUGCUGCCCCAGGUACAGAAGCAUCCUGCGUUUGCAAGGCUCUAUAACGACCUUUUCGAACAAUCAGAAAGUUUCUGCCCAAAGGCUUCAAGGCCCAAGUUUCAGGAUGAGUUUGUAGCUCCCAGGAUGCACAAACGAAGCUCAGAACUCUUCCUGCCUCUCAGCACCAGAGAGGGCCUUACAGUGAGUUAGAUUUGGGGGUCUUCUAGCAGAUCUGUUUUUGUUAAUGCCAACGUUUAUAUUCAAGCCGCUGCAUAAAAUUUUUGAAGAAUCAAAACUGACUCUGGUUCUUCCAUUAGAAAGA